This 507-nucleotide ribosomal RNA is filed under the name uncultured bacterium. RNAcentral's name for it is "bacterial SSU rRNA". It matches the Rfam family "Bacterial small subunit ribosomal RNA", at positions 1 to 510 of the family's 1533-position model. The record is from RNAcentral.
GGAUCCAGACUUUGAUCAUGGCUCAGGACGAACGCUGGCGGCGCGCCUAACACAUGCAAGUCGAGCGGGAAGCUUUUUAAGGAUUCUUCGGAUGAAUUAAAAAGUGGAGAGCGGCGGACGGGUGAGUAACGCGUGAGAAACCUGCCCUAUACAGGGGGAUAGCCAUUGGAAACGAUGAUUAAUACCCCAUAUGACCACAGUAUCGCAUGAUACAGCGGUGAAAACUCCGGUGGUAUAGGAUGGUCUCGCGUCUGAUUAGCUAGUUGGUGGGGUAACGGCCUACCAAGGCGACGAUCAGUAGCCGGCCUGAGAGGGUGACCGGCCACACUGGAACUGAGACACGGUCCAGACUCCUACGGGAGGCAGCAGUGGGGAAUAUUGCACAAUGGGCGAAAGCCUGAUGCAGCGACGCCGCGUGANCGAUGAAGGCUUUCGAGUCGUAAAGUUCUGUUCUUGGGGAAGAUACCGACGGUACCCAAGGAGAAAGCACCGGCUAAAUACGUGCCA